Molecule: long non-coding RNA, 933 nt
Filed under: Monodelphis domestica (gray short-tailed opossum)
Lineage: Eukaryota; Metazoa; Chordata; Mammalia; Didelphimorphia; Didelphidae
Description: lncRNA (ENSMODG00000039864.1)
Source: RNAcentral
GUUCUCCUUCAAUAGUUCAAAUAAUCAUGGGGAUUUUAUAGAAAUAAACAGACAAGAAUCAUGGAGAGUGAGAUCAGAAUGGCUUUUGAAGAGUACUCACACUCAUGUGACCCAUUUAAGUACUAAACAGAUCAUGGCCAGAUAUGAAGAGGAAAUGGAUCUCAGUUUUGGUUGCCUUGGAUUUCAUUAGCCUGUCCACAUGCCCUUGCUGCUAAUUUUGCAAAAACAAAGAGCAACCCUUGCAUUCUUCUGCUCAUUGUGGCAUUAUUUCUCUUUGUGUGAGCAUCACUACAGCAUCUAGCCAAACAAUUGCUUCUAGGAUCUGGGUGGGUGCUCAGUGAAAGAGCUCAAAGCCCAUGUCAUCAUCAGAUUCUUCUGAUAGAAAAAGGUGCACCUCCCUCCAACCCCAGGAAGCCAGCUUACUGCUCACUAGCAGAUCAUGGUCCUCAAUGCUUUUACUGCUGAACUUGUGGAUGACCUUGAGAUGCUCCUCAUCUACCUCGAUUCCAAGGCUCUGUCUAGGAUCUUCUUCAGGUCCUUGGCUUUGGGGAAGUCAUUGCUGCCAAGGACAGCCAAAAGUUUCAGAUUUCAUGGAUUGUUUUCAGAAGGAUUAUUGAAGAAAAAUGAGGUGUCACACACAUACAGAGAAAAUAUAUGGCAUCUCUGGGUUCAAGGUCAGAAAUUCCAGACAAAUCAUCUACUCAUCUCUGUGGUGACUGUACAGAGCAAUGUUAAGACACAAGUAAGAUAUAACAUACUACCAAGGACCAACAUGCAAGAAAUGUCUGAAAAGAUAUAAUUAAAGAUAUGUGAGGUUUGAAAAGGGAUCUAAGCUGGUUGUGAGAAAGAGAACAGUUCACAUACUGAAUGAUCAUCCUGCCAAGAGACUAUGAAUUGCAUCCUCCAUGUAGAAUAAAUGGGAAGAUACUGACA